This 253-nucleotide ribosomal RNA is filed under the name uncultured bacterium. Its description in RNAcentral is "partial 16S ribosomal RNA". It matches the Rfam family "Bacterial small subunit ribosomal RNA", at positions 524 to 776 of the family's 1533-position model. The record is from RNAcentral.
UACGAAGGGGGCUAGCGUUGCUCGGAAUCACUGGGCGUAAAGCGCACGUAGGCGGCUUGUUAAGUCAGGGGUGAAAUCCUGGAGCUCAACUCCAGAACUGCCUUUGAUACUGGCGAGCUUGAGUUCGGGAGAGGUGAGUGGAACUGCGAGUGUAGAGGUGAGAUUCGUAGAUAUUCGCAAGAACACCAGUGGCGAAGGCGGCUCACUGGCCCGAUACUGACGCUGAGGUGCGAAAGCGUGGGGAGCAAACAGG